UGUGAGCUCGAUGAGUAGGGCGGGACACGUGGUAUCCUGUCUGAAUAUGGGGGGACCAUCCUCCAAGGCUAAAUACUCCUGACUGACCGAUAGUGAACCAGUACCGUGAGGGAAAGGCGAAAAGAACCCCGGCGAGGGGAGUGAAAAAGAACCUGAAACCGUGUACGUACAAGCAGUGGGAGCACGCUUAGGCGUGUGACUGCGUACCUUUUGUAUAAUGGGUCAGCGACUUAUAUUCUGUAGCAAGGUUAACCGAAUAGGGGAGCCGAAGGGAAACCGAGUCUUAACUGGGCGUUAAGUUGCAGGGUAUAGACCCGAAACCCGGUGAUCUAGCCAUGGGCAGGUUGAAGGUUGGGUAACACUAACUGGAGGACCGAACCGACUAAUGUUGAAAAAUUAGCGGAUGACUUGUGGCUGGGGGUGAAAGGCCAAUCAAACCGGGAGAUAGCUGGUUCUCCCCGAAAGCUAUUUAGGUAGCGCCUCGUGAAUUCAUCUCCGGGGGUAGAGCACUGUUUCGGCAAGGGGGUCAUCCCGACUUACCAACCCGAUGCAAACUGCGAAUACCGGAGAAUGUUAUCACGGGAGACACACGGCGGGUGCUAACGUCCGUCGUGAAGAGGGAAACAACCCAGACCGCCAGCUAAGGUCCCAAAGUCAUGGUUAAGUGGGAAACGAUGUGGGAAGGCCCAGACAGCCAGGAUGUUGGCUUAGAAGCAGCCAUCAUUUAAAGAAAGCGUAAUAGCUCACUGGUCGAGUCGGCCUGCGCGGAAGAUGUAACGGGGCUAAACCAUGCACCGAAGCUGCGGCAGCGACGCUUAUGCGUUGUUGGGUAGGGGAGCGUUCUGUAAGCCUGUGAAGGUGUGCUGUGAGGCAUGCUGGAGGUAUCAGAAGUGCGAAUGCUGACAUAAGUAACGAUAAAGCGGGUGAAAAGCCCGCUCGCCGGAAGACCAAGGGUUCCUGUCCAACGUUAAUCGGGGCAGGGUGAGUCGACCCCUAAGGCGAGGCCGAAAGGCGUAGUCGAUGGGAAACAGGUUAAUAUUCCUGUACUUGGUGUUACUGCGAAGGGGGGACGGAGAAGGCUAUGUUGGCCGGGCGACGGUUGUCCCGGUUUAAGCGUGUAGGCUGGUUUUCCAGGCAAAUCCGGAAAAUCAAGGCUGAGGCGUGAUGACGAGGCACUACGGUGCUGAAGCAACAAAUGCCCUGCUUCCAGGAAAAGCCUCUAAGCAUCAGGUAACAUCAAAUCGUACCCCAAACCGACACAGGUGGUCAGGUAGAGAAUACCAAGGCGCUUGAGAGAACUCGGGUGAAGGAACUAGGCAAAAUGGUGCCGUAACUUCGGGAGAAGGCACGCUGAUAUGUAGGUGAAG
RNAcentral lists this ribosomal RNA (1367 nucleotides) under Escherichia coli. RNAcentral describes it as "partial 23S ribosomal RNA". It matches the Rfam family "Bacterial large subunit ribosomal RNA", at positions 398 to 1767 of the family's 2925-position model. The record is from RNAcentral. Lineage: Bacteria; Pseudomonadati; Pseudomonadota; Gammaproteobacteria; Enterobacterales; Enterobacteriaceae.